GCGACUGUUUCUUUCGAGCGGUGUCUCAUCAGUUAUAUGGUGACCCUGAGCGCCAUUUAGAAGUUAGAGCAGUCGGUAUUGCAUAUUUGCGAGACAAUCCUCAGAGAUUCAUUGAAAGUAAUACUGAAAACUCCUUGUUAGAUUAUCUCAAUACUAUGUUUUUUUAAACAGAAUAGCUAUAUAUAGCUACCUAUAAAUUUGCCAAAUGAUGAUAAAUUGUUUGGGCCAAAUGAUCAUAAAAUGAUCAUAAAAUGAUCAUAAAAUGAUCAUAAAAUGAUCAUAAAUCAUUUGGAAAAAUGUAGUUUUUCCUUCAAUAAUGCUGGUGGUAUAACUAAAACCCUGUCUUUCGAUUUUUUACGUGAUGAGCAACAUGCAGUCCGCCCGUGCAAAUUCUACUAGGACUUGACUACAUACAUGGAAACCUUAUAGUCCGAGUACGCCAAAAAUAGCACGAGUGCUGGGUAACACUGUUGCGACAUAAUCAAGAUGAGACGUUUGUCAUGUGUCAAGUCGUGUAUUUAUUUGACGACCUCUAGGUAUAGCAUUUCAUUUUGAACUUAGGUUUGGUUGUGAGCGCUAUAGAAGUGCGUGGCUGCGUGCCUUGCAUGGAAAUGUUGUACGUAGAUAUUACAGUGUUAUGCUGUGGCUUUAUUUAUUCAUUUGGCUAUAGUUGUCUAUAUUGCUUGAUGAAUUGUUGGCUUGUAAGGCGUCAGUGAAGUGCCAGUUUGAAUGUCAUGGGAAGAAUAUUAAAGUCUCGCUAUUCACAGCCGAAUGUUUUAUGCAAUGUUUUCCAGCACGGAAUUUGGUUUCAUUGAAAGGCUCAACAGUGGCCGGCAAAGGAAUAUUUCAUUACCUAAGAACAACCACAGUUCUCUGCUCAUUUUGCUGUGGGGAGUCUGCAUCACCAAUAACGAAGGGCGAGUAUUUAGAGAAUGUCUGUCAAGAAAAGUAAAAUUAAAGCCGUUGUCUAUGGUAAUGCCUCCAUAUUGUCAGGAAAGCAAUUUACUGACGCUGUCAACAGAACACUGAGUUCAUUGGUUUUUGUCAUUUCCAUACAACUCAAUCCAAGGAGAAUUUUCGUCUUCCCAGAAGCGGCAUGCGCCAGGCAGAGUAUAAACAACAUUUAUAAAUGAUGAGUUGCCAAACUGGUCACAGUUACUGUUUUCGGCAGAGACUUUAACGUAGAGAGACUCGUGUUCUUUGAUGCUGAUCCGGUGUCGUCGGCGUAAAUGAUCUGAGAUUCUUGAAACUGGAAUAUUGUAAUAUCGACAGCCAGGUACAUGGCAGGUUCUUCUUGCGUGACGGUCAGCUGAGGAUUUUGUGCAAGUCCUUCUUAUGGCACUUGGGGUUUGGUAUUUUUGAUGCUGCGCCAUGGUAAUAGACGGAUGAACUCUUUUAAGAUGCCUGUCAAGUCGUUUAAAGAACAAUCCAUGUUGUGUACAGCCCUCCACUCGACAAACGCCGCUCUGAGGCAUGCUGUGUUACAGUAUUGCUUGUGUUUAUUAUUAAUGGUGAUUAUUCGUUCAAUGUUUUGCAAGAUGUAUAGCUGUCUAUCAUAUGACUCAGAAUUCGAAUCGACGAACGUUUUGGCGGGCUUUGUUUGUAAAUUUUCCCGCGCCUUAUUGUGGUCAUUAAAAUUCCUUUUCUGAUAUAGAAUUACAAAUCUGAUGUUCAAUCAUUUAAAUUUUUUUGCAACAAAACAUUCCACAAAGCAUUCCAAAGUUGAUGAAAUUGCAAAAUCAAGUUUCUGUCAUAUUUCUGUCAGUAUCAUCAAAUUUAUGACAUACCUGUGGUCUGAUUAUUUCUUCAACGUUUCACGAGAUGUACAGAAUGUCCGCAAAAAAGAACCCUUUUCAAGUUUUGUCAGAGUUUGAAUGCUUUAUCAUUAUGCCAAACAAUUGCAGCUGUUGUGUAAAAAUUGGAAAACUGAACCAUAGACCUUACCAUAUAGUGAUCAGGCGCGUUGAAUUUCGAGCCAAAGCUUGAUGGGGUCAGGGUUUCCACAAUAUUGACAACCACAAGGGAGGGAGGGAUCUGUGUUAGUAAGAUAUAUUAUGCAAUCUUUUCAAAAGUUCUUUAUUGCUUUUUUUUGUCAUUUCUAUCUCCCUAUGAGGACGGUCAUAUGCAAAUAAGUUGUGGAUGGGGUACAUUUUUCCUGUAACAUAUAGCUGUGAUAUUUUCUACCAGUACACUUAUUUUAUUGCAUUAUACUCUAAAGGCAGAAAUAAAUCAACGCAGCUUUUGGCGGGCUCUCUUCAUACAUUUUCCCAAGCCGAAUUUGGUAGUCCAGAUUGCUCUACUAAUAUGUUCGAAAUUACAAAAGGCUCUCCUUCAAUGUUAAUUGCCAAAGAGCAUUCCAAAGGUGGAAAAUUUGAAAUCAAGUAUUUCUGUCAACAUCACCAUAUUUACGAGUCAAGGUUAUAGUGGACAUACCAAAUCUAAAGCAUGGGGUAUAUAAUAGAAGAUUUAUUAUUGUUUUUUGUGGCUUGCAUGCAUGCGUAUCACUGUUUGUCAGAAUAAAGAUAAUAAUUUAUUCUCGAAUCUGCCGUUUUAAAUACCUCGUAAAAUUCGU
Molecule: long non-coding RNA, 2572 nt
Organism: Dendronephthya gigantea
Lineage: Eukaryota; Metazoa; Cnidaria; Anthozoa; Malacalcyonacea; Nephtheidae
Exons: 3
Source: RefSeq, a predicted model, not a curated record